GCUGGGCAUGGUGGCGUGUGCCUGUAGUCCCAGCUGCUUGGGAGGCUGAGGCAGGAGAAUCGCUUGAACCCAGGAGGCAGAGGUUGUAGUGAGCUGAGAUCGCUCUACUGCAGUCCAGCCUGGGAAACAGAGCGAGACUCUGUCUCAA
Molecule: non-coding RNA, 148 nt
Filed under: Homo sapiens (human)
Lineage: Eukaryota; Metazoa; Chordata; Mammalia; Primates; Hominidae
Source: Rfam by way of RNAcentral